RNAcentral lists this ribosomal RNA (316 nucleotides) under Havaika cf. pubens MAA-2006. Its description in RNAcentral is "partial 16S ribosomal RNA". Lineage: Eukaryota; Metazoa; Arthropoda; Arachnida; Araneae; Salticidae. The record is from RNAcentral.
CAUUUUAGCUUAUUUACCCAAUUUAAAAAUUAAAUCUCUCUUAAAUGUAAAAAGACAUUUAUACUUUAGAAAGACGAUAAGACCCUAUUGAACUUAACUGUAGUUAAACUGGGGCAGUAAAUUAAUUUUAAUUUUAAUAAAAAUAUAAAUAUUAUUAUCUAUUAAAAUUAAAUAAUUCAGUUACCAUAGGGAUAACAGCGUAAUAGAUUUUUAAAGAUCUUAUUUAAAAAUCAAAUUGCGACCUCGAUGUUGAAUUAAUAUACUAAUUAAGGCAAGACUUAUAAAAGCAAGUCUGUUCGACUUUUAAAAAAUUACA